This 297-nucleotide unclassified non-coding RNA is filed under the name plant metagenome. Its description in RNAcentral is "partial contains 5.8S ribosomal RNA, internal transcribed spacer 2, and large subunit ribosomal RNA". The stretch from base 1 to 105 matches the Rfam family "5.8S ribosomal RNA", at positions 50 to 154 of the family's 154-position model. The record is from RNAcentral.
GAAAUGCGAUAAGUAAUGUGAAUUGCAGAAUUCAGUGAAUCAUCGAAUCUUUGAACGCACAUUGCGCCCCCUGGUAUUCCGGGGGGCAUGCCUGUUCGAGCGUCAUUUCACCACUCAAGCCUCGCUUGGUAUUGGGCAACGCGGUCCGCCGCGUGCCUCAAAUCGACCGGCUGGGUCUUCUGUCCCCUAAGCGUUGUGGAAACUAUUCGCUAAAGGGUGCUCGGGAGGCUACGCCGUAAAACAACCCCAUUUCUAAGGUUGACCUCGGAUCAGGUAGGGAUACCCGCUGAACUUAAG